This is a long non-coding RNA of Rattus norvegicus (Norway rat), 787 nucleotides long. RefSeq lists it as uncharacterized. Lineage: Eukaryota; Metazoa; Chordata; Mammalia; Rodentia; Muridae. The record is from RefSeq and is a predicted model, not a curated record.
UCUUGCAGAGAACACGGAUUUGGUUCUCAGAGCUCACAAUGGUAACUAUGGCUCUAUGGACUUUUGUAUGUGUGCAGGUUCAUUGUGUAUGCCUGGUACCUGAGGUCACAACAGGGCAUUGGAUCUCCUGGAACUGGAGAUGGUUGUGAGCUGCUAUGGGUGCUAUGGAUGACCCUGGGUUCUCUUCAAGAGCAAUAAAUGGGCUAACAGAUGAACCAUCUCUCCAGCUCCCCCCUUCUGCUGUGGGGGCAUUGCGCAGAGACCCGGAUUUCCUCACAUGCUGUGGGUUUUCUGUGAAAAGGGAAUACUCUGGUAAGCACCCCAGCUGACUCCUCUAAUUGAGUCAGUGGAGUCAAUCUCCUGCAUCACUGCAACUCUAUCCGGAGAACUCAAUUCCUGGCCCUGCAGAGCUGAAGAGCAAAGUCUGUAGCAGUUGUUCCACCAAAAAUGUUGCUUACUCUUGGCACAGACUCCGAGGUGUUGGAACUAGAGGCAUGCUCCAGCACACCAGGCUAAAGACAACAGAAAAACCCUGCAGCUGCAACAGCAGAGGCCAGUGGACUCCGUGGAUGUGGGACGUACACGAACUGUGUUCUACAACUCAAUAUACAUGCAAAGCAUUCCCAGCAGGGCCAGGUGUCCCACAAAUGUGUUUUUAUCUUGUAGGCACUUGGUGGGUUGACUGUAAGGUUGGAGGGAAAUGGGGUGUUAAGGACAACCUCCAGGCUCUGGCUCUGAAUAGUAUGUCAAGUGAGUGCCAACAAAAUGAAAACAGAGGAGAGGAUGA